This 30-nucleotide non-coding RNA is filed under the name Mus musculus (house mouse). The record is from RNAcentral. Lineage: Eukaryota; Metazoa; Chordata; Mammalia; Rodentia; Muridae.
UUUUUUCAGUGAUGUGAUGAACAUUUGGGU